AGGAGCAAGCGAGAAAGAAGCUCCACCGGAUCUGCGCCGCGUCCAGGCCAGGCUCCAACACACGACGACCCAGGCCGCCACGAGCAGCAAGCGAGGACGAAGCUGCCAUAUCCAGUUCCGAGUUCCGACCAGCGUCGCUAGCUUGGAUUGGAUCCAUUCCAUGGACGCCCCGCGACGGCAAAAAACGGUUGGAUCCAUGGACGGCAAGAUGCGUCUGCUGCCUCUGAGUGUGACCGUGGUCAGCGCUUGGGCGCUCCUCACCACCUCCGUCUUCCUCGGCUGCUCCAUCCUGGCCUACUAUGAAAUCCCGACCUGUGCUUCAAGCCGGCAGAUAUUACCGGGAUGGUGGCCAACGCUGCGUCUCAUGUGGCCGCGUCGGCGCUGACGCUGCCACGGCGGGGUCCGCCGUGCCCUCGUGUCGGCUGUGCCAUCGCGUGCCUCGCGCUCUCGCUCGUCAUCGUCGUCCAUUUUAUUCUUACUAGAAGAACGCCCGUGCGUUGCAACGGGGCCACAUUAGCUUUAAGAGUUCAAUAUCAGUUAUGUUAAUAUUACAUUUAAUAUUCUCA
Long non-coding RNA from Triticum aestivum (bread wheat), 566 nucleotides. RefSeq lists it as uncharacterized. The record is from RefSeq and is a predicted model, not a curated record. The transcript is spliced from 3 exons. NCBI's taxonomy places the organism in Eukaryota, Viridiplantae, Streptophyta, Magnoliopsida, Poales, Poaceae.